This is a long non-coding RNA of Gadus morhua (Atlantic cod), 470 nucleotides long. RefSeq lists it as uncharacterized. The transcript is spliced from 5 exons. The record is from RefSeq and is a predicted model, not a curated record. NCBI's taxonomy places the organism in Eukaryota, Metazoa, Chordata, Actinopteri, Gadiformes, Gadidae.
CACACGCACUUCCGCUGCAGACAGAAACAUCCACCCACACUCCGGAAAUUGCGUGCUGGUGGAUGUCUGGAGCGCGAGUUGCACAUUAUUCAACAGCGCCCCCUCGGGUCACACUUUUCGGUGGGUCGCAGAAUUCGGUGUAACAACGGGACUCACUGCACGAAGAUGUGACACGUUCGGCUCUGCUGCACUUGGAGGUUAUGGGGAAGAGCAUAUUUGUGGCUGAUCUCAAUGCUGUUCCGACUUGGCGAUAUCCAACAGCAUGUGACCCACUUUCAAGUUUACCUGAUGAUGUUUACUUCAGAGACGCUGUUGUAAUUCCUGUUUGGAAACCUGGACAUUUCUUGUUAUCUAAACCUUUGUCAGUCUCUCAGCCCUGGGCCAUGGAAAGAGACGACUGGUUUGGACAUCGAGGGCUUUCCACGGCAAAAGUAUGGUAUCGACUGUGGCAUCUUCAUGUUGAUGGUAGG